This 1143-nucleotide long non-coding RNA is filed under the name Vulpes vulpes (red fox). Its description in RNAcentral is "lncRNA (ENSVVUG00000018727.1)". The record is from RNAcentral. Lineage: Eukaryota; Metazoa; Chordata; Mammalia; Carnivora; Canidae.
GGGAAGUGUAGAUCUUCUCAGUGAAAUUAAUGAAGGAACUUUUUCCCCAAGACAGGGAAAGAAGCACCACAGGGAAGAAGCAACUAAUAAAAACAAAGGAAAUCAAAAACCCCAGGGAAAGGAAAAUAAUAGGUAAUUUCUGAUUCUAUGAAAGAAAGAAAAGUUUGUUAGAAGAUACGGUUGGAUCUACUAGUCCUCAGAAGGUAAGCAAUAAUAGACAGUAGAGGGAAAAGAUAGAUGAAGGAGUUUUUAGAAUGAUUUCCAGAGAUGCCAUUGGGAAAUACUGCUUUCUUCUUAAAUAUGCCAGAAGAUUUCAAGCCUUGAAGUGGAUUCUAAAUGAGAAGUGAGAAAGAUAAACCUAGAAAGAGACCUCACAUAGAAUCAUCUUUUAUGUUCAUUUUCAUCUAGAUUGCUUUAUCACAUUAUUCUAAUUUCUCCCUAGCAACCAAAAGUAAAAAACUGGAGUAGAGAUGAACUCUUCAUAAGACUAAUGUCAAAUUAGUAGGACUACUAAAGUUAAAAGCAAAUGUGAUCAGAAAAUCCAAAGGAAUGUUCAAGCAAAUUACAAAAACUAGGGAUUUCAGCAAAAUCACUGGAUAAAUGAUUAAUAUACAAAAAUCAAUUACAUUUUUAUUAGAGCAAUUAAAACAUUAAAAUCUAAAAAUUAUCAUUUAUAUUCGAUUUUAGAAGUAUCAAAUACUUAAUAUAUUUACUUAAUAUAUUUAAAACUUCUACACUGAAACCUUAAAAAUUAUAACAUGGCUGAGAGACAUUAAUGGUGUCUUAAAUGGAGAAUUAUGCCAGGUUUAUGGAUAACAAUAUUUUUAAGAUGCAACUAUCCUCAAGUUGAUCUAUAGAUUCAAUGGAAUCUCAAUUAAAAUCCAGCCAGUUAUUUCGGUAGAAAUUGACUAGUGGACCCUAAAUUUUAUAUGGAAAUGCAAAGAACCUAUGACAGCCAAGAACAAAGUUAGAGUAUUUAUAAUACUAUAUAUAAUAUAUAUUAAUAUAUGUAGGUGAUUUAUCAUGCAUAAACUGAUGAUGUAGCCUUUGGGGGUUUCAGUUUUAUGGGGAAAAGAUUGUCUAUUAGAUUUUUUAUCUUCAGCAGGCCUAGGUUUUUGUUUUUUUAACUUUUCCAUUUAACAU